This is a long non-coding RNA of Humulus lupulus (European hop), 755 nucleotides long. RefSeq lists it as uncharacterized. NCBI's taxonomy places the organism in Eukaryota, Viridiplantae, Streptophyta, Magnoliopsida, Rosales, Cannabaceae. The transcript has 4 exons. The record is from RefSeq and is a predicted model, not a curated record.
CCCAUUUAAUUAAGAAGUCAAGUGGGCAAGUGGGUAGAAAAGCACUCAAGUGUUUUGUGAUAUUUUGAAGAGUUGUGUGAGCCAUUCUAACCCCCAAAUCCGACCACUCUCCCUCCCUCAUUCACUCUCAUCUGAUUUUUGAAGACUCUCUCAAGUGUUCUCUCCAUUUUGAACCCCAAGAACACCAAAGAAACUUGGAAGCUAAGUCUUGGUCUAGGAAGGGUUUUCCCUAAGUUGGUUAGGGUUUUUGAAAGGUUUUGAAGGAGUCAAAGCUUAUAGGAAGGUCCAAACCUUAAGCAAGAACACCAAAGAGUAUUGGCUAAGCGUAACUGGACUGAACGUUGGAGGGUGAAAACCUGCUGAGCGCUAAGGACUCCAAGUAAGAACAAGGGCAAGGCAGAGCAGUGAGCGCUGGAGUCUUCCUUGCAAAUGUACAUGUGGACCGACCUUUUGGGAAGCCUUUUUAUUUUUGGAAAUGUUGUGUAAUUUUCCUAAACUAGGCUCACUCUAAUCUUUAUAAAACAUGUUUGUAACUAAAUGUUAAGUAUGGCCAUACGACUUUUUAAAAGUUUUUUUUCUAUGGGUUUUUGACGCAUUUUGUUUAAUGAAAACAUUUAUAUUUCCGCAUUAUCGAGUCUUGAAAAUCCGGGUCGUUACACACAGGGUGUAUGCUUGACGUACUUUACGAUAGCAAAUGUUUUAUAUGAUAUGUUUAUGUUAAUGUAUGAAUAUGCUAGUGUAUGAUUAUAUUUAUU